AGGAUAAAUAAAUAGUAAGCCGCUAACUUAACCUUUUAACGGUUCAAAUCCGUUAUUAUCCUUC
RNAcentral lists this transfer RNA (64 nucleotides) under Megaloprepus caerulatus. RNAcentral's name for it is "tRNA-Ser". Lineage: Eukaryota; Metazoa; Arthropoda; Insecta; Odonata; Coenagrionidae. The record is from RNAcentral.